RNAcentral lists this ribosomal RNA (886 nucleotides) under Polypedates leucomystax (Java whipping frog). RNAcentral's name for it is "partial 16S ribosomal RNA". It matches the Rfam family "Bacterial large subunit ribosomal RNA", at positions 1112 to 2602 of the family's 2925-position model. The record is from RNAcentral. Lineage: Eukaryota; Metazoa; Chordata; Amphibia; Anura; Rhacophoridae.
GCAGCCACCUUUUAAAACGCGUCAAAGCGUAACCUUAACCCCCCAAAUUCCAUUAAUUUUCAUGAACCCCUAAUUUAUAAUGAAUGACUCCAUAUUUAUAUGGAAGACACCAUGCUAGGAUUAGUAACAAGAAUUUAUAAUUCUCCAAAAUGCAAAUAUAAACCAACAUGGAUGGACCAUUGGUAGUUACCGAACCUAAAUUUUAUGCAAUAACACCCACAAGAAAACUCUGCAGUACUUACUCGUUAACCUAACACCAGCGCAUUACAGGAAAGAUUAAAAAAAAGAGAAGGAAUUCGGCAAAUGACGGCCCCGCCUGUUUACCAAAAACAUCGCCUCUUGACUUAUAAUAAGAGGUCCAGCCUGCCCAGUGAAUUUUAAACGGCCGCGGUAUCCUAACCGCGCGAAGGUAGCAUAAUCACUUGUUCUUUAAAUGGGGACUCGUAUCAACGGCAUCACGAGGGUUUUACUGUCUCCUCUUUUUGAUCAGUGAAAUUGAUCUUCCCGUGAAGAAGCGGGAAUAAAUUUAUAAGACGAGAAGACCCCAUGGAGCUUUAAACCAAGUAACAACUUAACCACUUAUCCCAUAAUAAAUUUAAACCCUGUUAUAAGGUUUUUGGUUGGGGUGACCGCGGAGUAAAGCACAUCCUCCACGACGGAAAGAACAAAAUCUUUAUUUAAGAACCACACUUCUAGAAAUUAGUAUACUAACGUUUACUGACCCGACAAUCGAUCAACGGACCAAGUUACCCUGGGGAUAACAGCGCAAUCUACUUCAAGAGCCCAUAUCGACAAGUAGGCUUACGACCUCGAUGUUGGAUCAGGGUAUCCCGGUGGUGCAGCCGCUACCGAAGGUUCGUUUGUUCAACGAUUAAAACCCUACGUG